This 606-nucleotide small RNA is filed under the name Pongo abelii (Sumatran orangutan). RNAcentral's name for it is "processed transcript". Lineage: Eukaryota; Metazoa; Chordata; Mammalia; Primates; Hominidae. The record is from RNAcentral.
UACGUGCUUGUGGACGCUGGCCUUGCGGCUGGGUGCGUCUGGCGGUGUGGUGCUGAGUACUGAGGACUGUGCGCUCAACUCGUGGAGCGGGCUGGGUGUUCGGGGCCAGCGGCGGCAGCGGCAGGCACGGCGGCAGCAGCGGCAGGGUGGGGUGAACAGGCGGGGCCCAGUGGCCAGGCACACGAAGAGUCCCGCAUGCUGCUCCUGUACGCUGCCUAUAGCCAAGCUGCCGUCGGCCAGCACCGCGAUGCUGCCAUCGCGGGAUCCUGGCGCCCUGAGAAGCUCCUGCUGCGGCGAAACCCAGGCAAUGCGCAUGGCCGGGACGCUGGUGUUGCAGUAAAGCCUUAGGGACCGACCCACCAGCGCGUACAGGAGAGAGCGAGCCACAUCAGUGCUCCUGGCAGAUCCCUGCUUCCAGCUACGCUCAAUAUGCUAUCUCCUGGGACAGCCAGAGCCCCCAGCACCUGGCACUGCCCUGCCAGCCCCUGACCGGAAGCGCUUCUCCCUGCAGAGCUAUGCGGAUUAUAUCAGUGCCGAUGAACUGGCCCAAGUGGAACAGAUGCUGGCGCACCUGACCUCUGCAUCUGCCCAGGCAGCAGCUGCCUC